This 484-nucleotide ribosomal RNA is filed under the name uncultured Actinomycetales bacterium. RNAcentral's name for it is "bacterial SSU rRNA". It matches the Rfam family "Bacterial small subunit ribosomal RNA", at positions 9 to 507 of the family's 1533-position model. Lineage: Bacteria; Bacillati; Actinomycetota; Actinomycetes; Actinomycetales. The record is from RNAcentral.
GAGUUUGUACGUCUCGGCUCAGGACGAACGCUGGCGGCGUGCUUAACACAUGCAAGUCGAACGGAAGGACCCUUCGGGGUACGUCGAGUGGCGAACGGUGAGUACACUGGGUGAUCUGCCCUGCACUUUGGGAUAAGACCUGGGAAACUGGGUCUAAUACCGGAUAGGACCACGGCAUUCAUGUGCUGUGGUGGAAAGCUUUUGCGGUGUGGGAUGGGCCCGCGGCCUAUCAGCUUGUUGGUGGGGGUAAUGGCCUACCAAGGCGACGACGGGUAGCCUGCCUGAGAGGGUGACCGGCCACACUGGGACUGAGAUACGGCCCAGACUCCUACGGGAGGCAGCAGUGGGGAAUAUUGCACAAUGGGCGCAAGCCUGAUGCAGCGACGCCGCGUGAGGGAUGACGGCCUUCGGGUUGUAAACCUCUUUCGCCAGGGACGAAGCGCAAGUGACGGUACCUGGAGAAGAAGGACCGGCCAACUACGUG